GCUGCUUUAUGCAACAGCUACAGCAGGGAAAACAGUGGAGACUGCACCAUGACCAACAUUAUUACUACUGUGUGCAAUGAACUUGCCACGUGCUUAUCAGCACAGACUAACUCAGACUGAUUGCAAUGUGUUGUCAAUCUGUCUUUACAACAUUACAACUGUUUGCAAACCUUUGCCAGUCUAUCUGAGAAUGAUUGGAGACUUCAAUUGUCUUGCAAUUGAAAGUAGUCGCCAAUAGACAGUCAAGUUCUGGGUCACUAAAGAAGUCUUGCAAACGGUCGAACAAUCAGACUUUUCCUUGGCGUAAGACACAAUUACAGCCAACUCUAGCAUAAUUGGUGGAGACUAAACUAAAAAAAGAACUAUUUUUGAAAGCUCUAGCUCACACCUAACUGCUUAUUAUCAUAGUCUACCAUGAAUCAAUCACUACUACUGAGGACAAUAUACUAAAUUCUUACAUAAAGUAACUAUCAAAGAUUUUCCAAUAAUUCUGUGCUGAAUCCCCUGACUGUCUGAGAAAGAAAAGCCAGCCUUGCAUAUAUCAAAACAGCCAGAGAGAAAUAAAAAAUGGUAAAAAAAAAAAAAAAAGAGAGUAUAGCCGCACUAUGUAGCUACCUGGGAAUAAGCCACACUCCUGGAUUUGAGAGUUUUAUAUGUGCAAUAUACUGUAUGUGACCAAAAUUAAGCAAAGGCAUUCAAAAUAUCCCUUCUGAGCAUCCCAUCUGUCAUGUGGCAGAGACACGUUGCUACAGCUUCUCGCAAAGUUUUUAUUCACCAUGUUUUUAUAUGGCAGGGAACAUGGAAGAAUUUUUAGGAGUUUGUGGGUGGUGCAUGGGAUAUUGAUUAUUCUGCAAGGUGUUGUUCAGGCCCACGUGGCACACUGUGCAGAAUAUUGAUCAUUUUAUUUGCAUGCCACUCCAGAUGUUGGGGAAAGUUUAUUUGAUUUACAGGCGGUAGGAGGUUGGCAGAGUCACUUUCUCAGCAGUUUUGUCUGUACAGGGCACACAUGGCAAACAUGAGCGAAGCAAACAACCCCUACUCGCCCAUAUGGACUCAAACAUUAGUGCUGUCACACAGUGCCAUCUAUUGUAAGGUGCACCAAAAAAACAAAAACAAAAUGCUGACGCACUUCUGUUUGUUUACACGACCUAAGAGGCCCGAGAAAAGUUCAGCUAUAAAAAGUUAAAGAAGCACAUUAUUUCCUACUCAAAAUGGCCUCUGUGAAACCUGGGGGGGAAAGUACAUCACUGCAGUCGGUGGCUUUCUGAGGGAGUUAUUUUAUAAGAAUGGAAAACAAUUCAGCCAAAACACUUUUUAAGUAAUGAUUGUUUUGGAUCUUAUGAUAGCCAGUGCCAGAUUGCAGGUUCUGUAAAUAAGAUAUUUCUGAAAUUCACAAA
This is a long non-coding RNA of Astatotilapia calliptera (eastern happy), 1397 nucleotides long. Lineage: Eukaryota; Metazoa; Chordata; Actinopteri; Cichliformes; Cichlidae. The record is from Ensembl.